GACGAACGCUGGCGGCGUGCUUAACACAUGCCAGUCGAACGGAAAGGCUCCAGCUUGCUGGCGUACUCGAGUGGCGAACGGGUAAGUAACACGUGGGUGAUCUGCCCUGCACUUCGGGAUAAGCCUGGGAAACUGGGACUAAUGACGGGUAGGACUGCAGUUUGGUGGGUGUGGGGGAAAGGUUGUGCUGGUGUGGGAUGAGCUCGCGGCAUAUCAGUUUGUUGGUGGGGUAAUGGCCUACCAAGACGGCGACGGGUAGCCGGCCUGAGAGGGUGGACGGUCACAUUGGGACUGAGAUACGGCCCAGACUCCUACGGGAGGCAGCAGUGGGGAAUAUUGCACAAUGGGGGGAACCCUGAUGCAGCGACGCCGCGUGGGGGAUGAAGGCCUUCGGGUUGUAAACUCCUUUCGCUAGGGACGAAGCUUUUUGUGACGGUACCUGGAGAAGAAGCACCGGCUAACUACGUG
RNAcentral lists this ribosomal RNA (468 nucleotides) under uncultured bacterium. Its description in RNAcentral is "partial 16S ribosomal RNA". It matches the Rfam family "Bacterial small subunit ribosomal RNA", at positions 28 to 507 of the family's 1533-position model. The record is from RNAcentral.